UACGGAGGGUGCGAGCGUUAAUCGGAAUUACUGGGCGUAAAGCGUGCGUAGGCGGCCCGUUAAGUUAGGUGUGAAAGCCCUGGGCUCAACCUGGGAACGGCACUUAAAACUGGCAGGCUCGAGUUUGGGAGAGGGGGGCGGAAUUCCGGGUGUAGCGGUGAAAUGCGUAGAUAUCCGGAGGAACACCAGUGGCGAAGGCGGCCCCCUGGCCCAAGACUGACGCUGAGGCACGAAAGCGUGGGUAGCAAACAGG
Molecule: ribosomal RNA, 253 nt
Filed under: uncultured bacterium
Lineage: Bacteria
Description: partial 16S ribosomal RNA
Rfam family: Bacterial small subunit ribosomal RNA
Source: RNAcentral